This 397-nucleotide ribosomal RNA is filed under the name uncultured bacterium. RNAcentral describes it as "partial 16S ribosomal RNA". It matches the Rfam family "Bacterial small subunit ribosomal RNA", at positions 523 to 918 of the family's 1533-position model. The record is from RNAcentral.
AUACGUAGGGGGCGAGCGUUGUCCGGAAUGAUUGGGCGUAAAGGGCGCGUAGGCGGCGCGGUAAGUCUGGAGUGAAAGUCCUGCUUUCAAGGUGGGAAUUGCUUUGGAUACUGCCGAGCUUGAGUGCAGGAGAGGUUAUCGGAAUUCCAGGUGUAGCGGUGAAAUGCGUAGAGAUCGGGAGGAACACCAGUGGCGAAGGCGGGUAACUGGACUGCAACUGACGCUGAGGCGCGAAAGUGUGGGGAGCAAACAGGAUUAGAUACCCUGGUAGUCCACACUGUAAACGAUGAAUGCUAGGUGUAAGAGGUAUCGACCCCUUUUGUGCCGGAGUCAACACAAUAAGCAUUCCGCCUGGGGAGUACGGCCGCAAGGUUGAAACUCAAAGGAAUUGACGGGG